UACGAAGGGGGCUAGCGUUGCUCGGAAUCACUGGGCGUAAAGCGCUUGUAGGCGGUCCACCAAGUUUGGGGUGACAGUUGCCGACUUAAUCGGCAAAGUGCCUCAAAGACUGGCGGACUUGAGGGCCACAGAGGGACAUGGAACUCCAGGUGUAGUGGUGAAAUGCGUAGAUAUCUGGAAGAACACCAAAGGCGAAGGCAGUGUCCUGGGUGGUCGCUGACGCUGAGAGGCGAAAGCCAGGGGAGCGAACGGG
Molecule: ribosomal RNA, 253 nt
Filed under: uncultured bacterium
Lineage: Bacteria
Description: partial 16S ribosomal RNA
Rfam family: Bacterial small subunit ribosomal RNA
Source: RNAcentral